UAGGGAAUCUUCGGCAAUGGGGGCAACCCUGACCGAGCAACGCCGCGUGAGUGAAGAAGGUUUUCGGAUCGUAAAGCUCUGUUGUAAGAGAAGAACGUGUGUGAGAGUGGAAAGUUCACACAGUGACGGUAACUUACCAGAAAGGGACGGCUAACUACGUGCCAGCAGCCGCGGUAAUACGUAGGUCCCGAGCGUUGUCCGGAUUUAUUGGGCGUAAAGCGAGCGCAGGCGGUUUAAUAAGUCUGAAGUUAAAGGCAGUGGCUUAACCAUUGUUCGCUUUGGAAACUGUUAAACUUGGGUGCAGAAGGGGAGAGUGGAAUUCCAUGUGUAGCGGUGAAAUGCGUAGGUAUAUGGAGGAACACCGGUGGCGAAAGCGGCUCUCUGGUCUGUAACUGACGCUGAGGCUCGAAAGCGUGGGGAGCAAACAGG
RNAcentral lists this ribosomal RNA (429 nucleotides) under bacterium. RNAcentral's name for it is "partial 16S ribosomal RNA". It matches the Rfam family "Bacterial small subunit ribosomal RNA", at positions 355 to 776 of the family's 1533-position model. The record is from RNAcentral.